GGUAUAGCUCAGUGGUAGAGAACAUACUUAGUAUGCAUGAGGUCCUAGGUUCAAUCCCCAGUACC
RNAcentral lists this transfer RNA (65 nucleotides) under Camelus bactrianus (Bactrian camel). It matches the Rfam family "tRNA". From Rfam's summary of the family: Transfer RNA (tRNA) molecules are approximately 80 nucleotides in length. Their secondary structure includes four short double-helical elements and three loops (D, anti-codon, and T loops). RNAcentral also lists the same sequence under 2 other names. Lineage: Eukaryota; Metazoa; Chordata; Mammalia; Artiodactyla; Camelidae. The record is from Rfam by way of RNAcentral.